UAGGGAAUCUUCCACAAUGGACGCAAGUCUGAUGGAGCAACGCCGCGUGAGUGAAGAAGGUUUUCGGAUCGUAAAGCUCUGUUGUUGGUGAAGAAGGAUAGAGGCAGUAACUGGUCUUUAUUUGACGGUAAUCAACCAGAAAGUCACGGCUAACUACGUGCCAGCAGCCGCGGUAAUACGUAGGUGGCAAGCGUUGUCCGGAUUUAUUGGGCGUAAAGCGAGCGCAGGCGGAAUGAUAAGUCUGAUGUGAAAGCCCACGGCUCAACCGUGGAACUGCAUCGGAAAAUGUCAUUCUUGAGUAGAGAAGAGGAGAGUAGAAUUCCAUGUGUAGCGGUGGAAUGCGUAGAUAUAUGGAAGAACACCAGUGGCGAAGGCGGCUCUCUGGUCUGCAACUGACGCUGAGGCUCGAAAGCAUGGGUAGCGAACAGG
This 429-nucleotide ribosomal RNA is filed under the name bacterium. RNAcentral describes it as "partial 16S ribosomal RNA". It matches the Rfam family "Bacterial small subunit ribosomal RNA", at positions 355 to 776 of the family's 1533-position model. The record is from RNAcentral.